UAUGAACGCUGGCGGCGUGCCUAAUACAUGCAAGUCGAGCGAACAGACGAGGAGCUUGCUCCUCUGACGUUAGCGGCGGACGGGUGAGUAACACGUGGAUAACUUACCUAUAAGACUGGGAUAACUUAGGGAAACCGGAGCUAAUACCGGAUAAUAUAUUGAACCGCAUGGUUCUAUAGUGUACGACGGUUUUGAUGUCACUUAUUGAUGGUACCGCGCCGCAUUAGACAGUUGGUAAGGUAACGGAUUACCAAGGCGACGAUGCGUAGCCGACCUGUGAGGGUGAUCAGCCACACUGGAACUGAGAGACGGUCCAGACUCCUAAGGGAGGCAGCAGUUGGGAAUAUUCCGCAAUGGGCGAAAGCUUGACAGAGCAACACCGCGUGGGUGAUGAAGGUCUUCGGAUCGUAAAACUCUGUUAUUAGGGACGAAAAAAUGUGUAAUUACCUCUGCACGUCUUGACGGUACCUAAUCAGAAAGCCACGGCUAACUUCGUG
RNAcentral lists this ribosomal RNA (497 nucleotides) under uncultured bacterium. Its description in RNAcentral is "partial 16S ribosomal RNA". It matches the Rfam family "Bacterial small subunit ribosomal RNA", at positions 29 to 507 of the family's 1533-position model. The record is from RNAcentral.